RNAcentral lists this long non-coding RNA (299 nucleotides) under Setaria viridis. Its description in RNAcentral is "long non-coding RNA (SVIR_LNC005265)". Lineage: Eukaryota; Viridiplantae; Streptophyta; Magnoliopsida; Poales; Poaceae. The record is from RNAcentral.
UGAGAAAUCGGCACCCCAAACUAAACACCAACUUCCUAGAAGUGUCACUAAAGUGUAGUAUGACACCACUUCUUCUGUGAACUUUGUACCCACACUAAAGGAGACCUUCACACCGACACCAACACGGGAGACCAACUCUUUACAAGGGAACCCAAAUCUUUUAUUCACCUACUCACAACCUGAUACAACACUCACUUUUACACUCUUUAUGUGGCUACCCUACCAUGAUACCACUACACUACAUGGCAACAUUGUCAUCUUUUCACCUAUGGUUCACAUGCCACUCUGUGCCAUGGUAU